This 401-nucleotide ribosomal RNA is filed under the name uncultured eukaryote. RNAcentral describes it as "SSU rRNA". It matches the Rfam family "Eukaryotic small subunit ribosomal RNA", at positions 567 to 974 of the family's 1831-position model. The record is from RNAcentral.
CCAGCAGCUGCGGUAAUUCCAGCUCCAAUAGCGUAUAUUUAAGUUGUUGCAGUUAAAAAGCUCGUAGUUGGAUUUCGGGUGGGACCCGGCGGUCCGCCUCCCGGUGUGCACUGCCGUGGCUCGCCUUUCUGUCGGGGACGGGCUCCUGGGCUUCACUGUCCGGGACCCGGGUUCGACAUGGUUACUUUGAGUAAAUUAGAGUGUUCAAAGCAGGCGUUCGCCCUGAAUACAUUAGCAUGGAAUAGCACGAUAGGACUCUGGCCUAUUCUGCUGGUCUGUAGGACCGGAGUAAUGAUUAAGAGGGACAGUCGGGGGCAUUCGUAUUUCAUUGUCAGAGGUGAAAUUCUUGGAUUUAUGAAAGACGAACUUCUGCGAAAGCAUUUGCCAAGGAUGUUUUCAUU